Molecule: transfer RNA, 65 nt
Filed under: Dipodomys ordii (Ord's kangaroo rat)
Lineage: Eukaryota; Metazoa; Chordata; Mammalia; Rodentia; Heteromyidae
Rfam family: tRNA
About the family: Transfer RNA (tRNA) molecules are approximately 80 nucleotides in length. Their secondary structure includes four short double-helical elements and three loops (D, anti-codon, and T loops). Further hydrogen bonds mediate the characteristic L-shaped molecular structure. tRNAs have two regions of fundamental functional importance: the anti-codon, which is responsible for specific mRNA codon recognition, and the 3' end, to which the tRNAs corresponding amino acid is attached (by aminoacyl-tRNA synthetases). tRNAs cope with the degeneracy of the genetic code in two manners: having more than one tRNA (with a specific anti-codon) for a particular amino acid; and 'wobble' base-pairing, i.e. permitting non-standard base-pairing at the 3rd anti-codon position.
Source: Rfam by way of RNAcentral
GGUGGCUCAGUGGUAGAGCGCAUGCCUCGCAGGUAUGAGGCCCUGGGUUUGAUUCCUCAGCACCA